CCAGGUCGCCGGACCCGGUGUGGAGAGCGGUGCUGAGGCUACGCGGGCUGGAGACUCAGGGCCUUCAACUGAUUGGAUGAAGCCCACCCACAUUAUGAAGAUUCCUGUGGCUGCAUUUGAAUAGCAAAAAUCCUGGCAAGAGGAGAUGAAGAUCUGGGCUAAAAACUUCACUGAGGCUAACAUCUCAGGAGGACCCUGGAGUCACAUGAGCCUGGUGGGAAUCUGCUUUGCCUCCUACCAGCUAUGUAGCGCUGGUCACACAACUUCACCUUCCUAAGCCUCAGUUUCUUGCUUUUAAAUGGAGAUGAUGAUACCUAUUUUGCAAGGUUGCUGAGUUGAUUGCAUGAGAUCACCGACGUGCACAGUAAUAAAAUAG
Molecule: long non-coding RNA, 376 nt
Filed under: Pan troglodytes (chimpanzee)
Lineage: Eukaryota; Metazoa; Chordata; Mammalia; Primates; Hominidae
Description: long non-coding RNA NONPTRT006216
Source: RNAcentral